RNAcentral lists this ribosomal RNA (253 nucleotides) under uncultured bacterium. RNAcentral's name for it is "partial 16S ribosomal RNA". It matches the Rfam family "Bacterial small subunit ribosomal RNA", at positions 524 to 776 of the family's 1533-position model. The record is from RNAcentral.
UACGGAGGGUGCAAGCGUUGUCCGGAUUUAUUGGGUUUAAAGGGUGCGUAGGUGGCUUAAUAAGUCAGUGGUGAAAGCCUGCAGCUUAACUGUAGGACUGCCAUUGAUACUGUUGAGCUUGAGUACUGAUGAGGUAGGCGGAAUUGAUAGUGUAGCGGUGAAAUGCAUAGAUAUUAUCAAGAACACCGAUUGCGAAGGCAGCUUACUAAGGAGUUACUGACACUGAGGCACGAAAGCGUGGGGAUCAAACAGG